CCUACGGGUGGCUGCAGUGGGGAAUAUUGGACAAUGGGGGGAACCCUGAUCCAGCCAUGCCGCGUGUGUGAAGAAGGCCCUCGGGUUGUAAAGCACUUUCAGUGAGGAAGAACGCCUGGUGGUUAAUACCCAUCAGGAAAGACAUCACUCACAGAAGAAGCACCGGCUAACUCCGUGCCAGCAGCCGCGGUAAUACGGAGGGUGCGAGCGUUAAUCGGAAUUACUGGGCGUAAAGCGCGCGUAGGUGGCUUGAUAAGCCGGUUGUGAAAGCCCCGGGCUCAACCUGGGAAAGGCAUCCGGAACUGUCAAGCUAGAGUGCAGGAGAGGAAGGUAGAAUUCCCGGUGUAGCGGUGAAAUGCGUAGAGAUCGGGAGGAAUACCAGUGGCGAAGGCGGCCUUCUGGACUGACACUGACACUGAGGUGCGAAAGCGUGGGUAGCAAACAGGAUUAGAUACCCGGGUAGUC
This 465-nucleotide ribosomal RNA is filed under the name Vreelandella stevensii. RNAcentral describes it as "partial 16S ribosomal RNA". It matches the Rfam family "Bacterial small subunit ribosomal RNA", at positions 338 to 795 of the family's 1533-position model. The record is from RNAcentral. Lineage: Bacteria; Pseudomonadati; Pseudomonadota; Gammaproteobacteria; Oceanospirillales; Halomonadaceae.